UUCGUAUUGAUCUUGUAUCCUGAGAUUUUAUUAAACUCACUUAUUAAUUCUAGUAGCUUUUUGGGGUAAAUUCCAUGAGGUUUUGUACAUAGAUGAUUGUGUUGUCUGUGAAUAAGGACAGUUUUACUUUUUCUUUUCCAAUGCUUUUUACUUCUUUUUCUUGCCUUAUUGCACUGGCAAUAAGUACAAUGUUAAAUAGAAGUGAUGAGAAUGGACCUCAUUUGUCUCUUCCCCCAUAUUAGAGGAAAAGCAUUCAGUUUUUCACCAUUAAGCAUGAUAUUAGCUGUGGGUUUUUGUAGAUACCUGUAGAUGAGGAAGUUCCCUUCUAUCUGUACUUCCCUGAGAGUUUUUUUUUUUUUAAUCAGGAAUGAAUGUUGGAUUGGCAAAUGCUUUUUCUGCAUCUUUUGAGAUGAUUUACUAUUUCAGUUUGUUAAAUGACAAAUUCUAUUAAUUGACUCCCAAGUGUUAAACCAAUGUGCAUUCCUGUGAGAACCUCUAGUUAGUCAUGAUGUAUUAUCCUUUUUAUGUUUUCUUAUAUUCUACUUGCUAAGAUUUUGUUUGAGAUUUUUGCAUCUAUAUUCAUGAAGGUUAUUGGUUUCUAAUUUUCUCCUCUUGUACUGGUUUGUCUAUUUUUUGCUUCAGAGUGGGGCUGGCCUAAUAGAAUGAGUUGGAAAGUAUUCUCUCCUUUCCAGUUUUUGUGUGUGUGUGUGUGUGUGUGUAGUUUGUGUAGAAGAAGAAUUUAUGUAGUUGGUAUUAUUUUUUCCUUAAAUAUUUGGUAGAAUUCACGAGUGAAGCCAUUUGAGCCUUGAAUUUCCUCUGUGGGAAGGUAUUUAACUACGUAUUACAUUUCUUUUAUAGAUAUAUGGCUAUUCAAGUUAGUAUCUAUUUCUUGAGUAAACUUUGGUAGUUUGUGUCUUUCAAGGAAUUUUUCCAUCUCCAAUGUUAAUUCAUUUUCAGAGACUUAUCAAUCAGCCCUUUGUUUUCUUUAGAAUUCCCUUGCUAUCUGUAGAGUCUGCUUGAUAUCAUCUAUCUCAUUCCUGAUUUUGGUAGUUUGUUUCUUCUCAAUUUUUUCCUGAACAGUCUGACUAGAGGUUUGUCAGUUUUUUUUAAUCUCAAAGAACUAUAUUUUGGUUUCAUUCAUUUUCUCUGUUGUUUUUCUGUUUUCCACUUUAUUGGUUUCUACUCUGAUCUUUAUUAUUUCCUUUCUUUUACUUAAUUUGAGUCCAGUUUUCUCUUUCCAGUUUCUUAACAUGAAGCUGAGUUCAUUGAUUUGAGACCACUAUUCUAAGUAUUCUUAUUAUAAAAUUUUCCCUCAGUACUAUUUUAGCAGCCUCCCACAAAUUUGAUGUAUGUGUUUUCAUACUUAUUCAUUUGAAAAUACUUUCUAAUUUCCCUUUUGAUUGCUUUUUUGAACCAUGGGUUAUAUAGACAUGUGUUAUUAACCUAUAUAUAUUUGGAGAUUCCCAGGGAUAUUGCUGUUAUUAAUUUUUAAUUUAAUUCCAUUGUAUCAGAGAACAUACGCAUGUGACUUGAAUUCUAUUAAAUUUAUUGUGAUUUGUUUUAUGGCCCAGAAUAUGGUCUGUCUUACUUAAAUGCUCCUUGUGUACUUGAAAAGAAUGUGUAUUGUGUGGUUGUUAAAUAGAAUGUUCUAUAAAUGUCCGACCAAGUCAGUCGAUAAUGUUGUUGAAAUAUUUUAUACUCUUAGUGAUUUUCCGUCUACUUGUUCUAUCAGUUAUUGAGAGAGGGGUGUUGAAAUCUCAGACUAUAAUUAUGGAUUUUCAUAUUUCUCUUAGCACUUCUAAUGGUUUUUUCUUCAUGUAUUUUGGAGUUCUGUUAUUGUCAGGAGCAACAUGUUUAGAAUUGCUGUGUCCUCUUGAUGAAGUAACUCCUUUAUAUUAUUAAUUGACCUGGUAAUAUUCUUUGCUCUGAAAUUUAAUUAGUGUGAUAAUAAUAUAGCCACUCCAGUUUUCUUUUGAUUAGAAGUGGCACAGUAUAUCUUUUAUCUACUCUUAUUUUUUUAUUUAAAAAAUUAUUUCAUGGUAGGAUAUGCUCAUAAAAUCAAGCUAAGGAUCAAUGUAAUGUCUAAUUUUGCUUAACAGGCUAUGCCUGGGAUUUCAGGAUGUCUGCUUGUAUGUGUGUGUUUGUGUGUGUACAUGGGUGUGUGGUUUCGAAUGAAUUCUUGAAGUUCUUUUAUUUUCUUAACAGUUUUUCUCAUAUAGUCUUGGUUCAUGGGAGGUGCUCAGUAAAUAUUUGUUAAAUUGAAAGUUUAACAAAAAUAGACUUUCUAUCCUUUUUACUUUUAACCUUCUUCUGUCCUGUUGCCUUUCUGCUCUUUUUGUUGUUGUUGUUAAGUUUUGUUUUAUGUCCAGGAUGUAAUCUAUAUUAGUGAACAUUCUAGAGCAUUUGAAAAAAAUGCGUAUUCUGCUAAAGUGCGGUAUAUCUCAGUGAGGUAUUGUUGACUGAUUUUGUUGUUCAUUUCUUCUUUACCCGUGCUGAUGUUCUGUCUCAUAGUUCUAUCAGUUGCUGAGAGUGGAGUGUUUAAGUCUUCAACUAUAAUUGUGGAUUGCCUUUCUCCUGUCUGCUCUUUCAGGGUCUGCUUUGUGUAUUUUGAGGCUCUUUUGUUUGGUGCACAUGUAUUUGGAGUCAUUAUGUCUUCCUGGUGGGUUGAUCCUUUCAUCCUUAGGUAACGUCGUUUGUCUCUAGUAAACUUUGCUCUGAAAUCUAUUUUAUCUGAUAUUAGGAGAGCCGCUCUUACUUCUUUGUUUUAGAUUCAUAUUUACAUGGUAUAUCUUUUUCCAUCCUUCUCCUUUCCAUUUAACCAUGUUGUAUUUGAAGUGAGUUUUUUGUAUAUAGGAUAUUGUAGGAUCACGGGGCUUUUGCUCGUGUCAUUGUUUGUUUGUUGGAUCCACUCUGCCUGGUGAAGGUAGAAGCCUAAGCUCCCCUCCUGGCCUUGCUGGCUUGGGUAGAGGUAGGGUCACAGUCUUUCCCAUGGUGUUUGGUUGGUGUAGAGUAGUUCUUGUCUAAAAGUUUUUAUCUUGCUUGGCUACUCCUUUCCAUGUCCUUUGGUUAGGGAGAAAGGCUUUUGUUGGGGCUUUUCUUGUCUGUACCCAUUGUCAUUUCCAGGUUGUCAGCCUUUCCAGCUCCAAAUCUGGGAUAUACGUGGCCAAAAAAAAAAAGAAGAAGAAAAAAAAUCCCAAGGAACUCACCAUCAUGUCAUUCCUUGGGUCCCAAGGUCCCUAGCUGGUGUGCCACCCUCUUUAAACCUUCUGUUUGUUUCAUAUAUAAUGUUUAGGAGUUUUCACUGUACUCUGUGAGAAAAACUGAGGAAAGCAUUUCUACUCCAUCUUGCUGGAAGCAUAUUUCUCCUCCAUUGUCUCUGAAAAGAUGUGUUACUGGACACAGAAUUCUAAGAUGACAUUUUUUAAAUUUCAGCACUUUGAAGAGAUUGCUCCACUAUCCUCUUGCUUGUAUUAUUUCCCAUGAAAACUCUUCUCUAAUCCUUAUUUUUGUUUCUCUGUUCAUAGCGUAUCUUUUUCCUGGUAUCGAACAAUUGGAUUAUGCUCUGCUUUGGUGUGAUUUUCUUCAUGUUUUUGGUGUUUGGAGUUCAUUGAGAUUCUUGGAUCUGUUGGUUUAUAUCUCUUAAACAGUCCCUCUCUGGAAGCAGAUGGUUCGACCAAAUUUACAGCCAGUGCUAAAACAGCUGUUAGUUUGUAGUUGAACUCUGAUGUUUACUAGUCCUGUAUUGUUUAUUUAAUAAGCAUCUAUAGUCUUUGUACACUUUUUCCACAGUGUUCUGUUUUUAGCAUUUGGGAGCAUAAUUCGAAUCCUUCCCUAAGUCAAAGGCCAAGCUCAUUUUUCAUAUGACAGAGAGACGUCUUCAGGGAGGUGAAACUUGUCCUCAAGAGAAGAGUUUGUACAUGUUAGGAGCACAGGCUUGGAACCAGACUGACUUGGGUUUCAACUCUGUACGUCUUGCUGUGUAAUUGUGGGAAUGUUCUUUAACCAUUUUGAGCCUCCAGUGUGUAAAACGGGGAUGAUAAUUGUAUCUACCUCAUAGGGUUGAUAUGUGGAAUAGCUGAGAUAAGUAAAUGUGGAACAUAGUUAAGCAGUCGUGAAAUUGUAGCUAUUAUUGCUGUUGGUAUUUUUUUUAAAGUAGUCUGUAUUUUUUAGUGCAGCUUUAGGUUGACAGUAAAAUUGAGCAGAAGGUACAGAGACUUCCGUUACUCCUAUUACCCCUACAUAUGCACUUCCUCCCCUACUGUCAAAAUCCCACCCAGAGAGGUCCAUUUGUUACAAUCCAUGAACCUACAUUGACACAUCAUUGUCAUCCAAAGUCUGUCGUUUACAUUAGGAUUCAGUCUUGGUGCUGUACAUUCACUGGGUUUGGGCAAAUGUAUAAUGACAUGUAUCUGCGAUUAGAGUACCGUACAGAGUAGUUUCACUGCCCUAAAAUUCCUCUUUUCUUUGUCUAUUCCUCCCUCCCUCCCCGCUAACUCCUGGCAAAUACUGAUCCUUUUAUCGUCUCCAUGUUUUUCCGUUUUCCAGAGUGUCAUAUAGUCGGAAUCAUAUAGUACAUAGCCUUUUCAGAUUGACUUCUGUCACUUAGUAAUAUGCACUUAAGCUUCCUCAUGUCUUUUCAUGGCUUGAUAGUUCAUUUCUUUUUAUCCUUGAAUAAUAUCCAGUUAAUCGUUGUACCAUAGUUUAUUUAUCCAUUCACCUGCUGAAGGACAUCUUGGGUGCUUCCAGGUUUUGGCAAUUAUGAAUCAAGUUGCUACAAACAUUUAUCUGCAGAUUUUUGUGUGAACAUAUUUUCAACUACAGUACUUUGGCUAAAUAUCAAAUAAUACGAUGGCUGGAUCGUAUGGUAAGAGUAUGUUUAGGUUUGUAAGAAAUCGCCACUGUCUUCCAAAAUGGCUGUACCAUUUGCAUUACCACCAGCCAUGAAAGAGAGUUCCUGUUGCUCCAAGUCUUCAUCAGCAUUUGGUGUUGUCAGUGUUUUGGAUUUUGGCCAUUCUAAUCAGUGUGUACUCACAUCUUGUUGUUUUGAUUCGUAAUUCCCUAAUGACACGUGAUGUUGAGCAUAUUUUCAUAUGCUCAUUUGCCAUCUGUAUAUCUUCUUUGGUAAGUUGUCUGUUCAGGUCUUUGCCCAUUUUUAAAUCAGGUUGUUCAUUUUCUUAUUGUUGAGUUUUAAGAGUUCUUUGUAUAUUUUGGAACUGUUGGCAUUUUAAUUUGAAUGAUCAUUGUCUUAAGUGCUUGGACAAAGGCUUUGUUGAGACCUCAGCAUUGCAGGCUGUAAAACCUGAAAAAUCUUUUUUUUCAUUUUUUGGAAGGAGGUAGAGAAAUUAUCUUCACCUGAAAAAUAUUACAGGAUGUUCCCAAAGGAACAUCUUGAUCAAAAAGAAUUUCCAGCUACCUCUUAGAUGUAUUGUGACUUCAUGGGCCUUCCAUGCUGUGAAUCUUUCCCCACAAAAUUAGCUUGUACCAUGUGUUUCUUGAUGAUUGCUUUAGUAAGUAGUGGGAAAUGACUGCUCAUCACAGCCUUGCCUUUCUUCUGUGUCUUUCUUACAUGCAUGUCAGUUAACAAGGGCCUGUGCUGUAAUCAGCAGCAGUGACAGUACACCUGUUAACAAAUCACCCCAACUUCCAGAGAACUGGCCUAGAUCAUUCUGUAAAACAUAGUCACUAAUGCUAUAGAAGAAAAAUAUGUCCUAUUGUUAAUGAAGGUGGUAUUAUAUUGUCUGAUUUCCAUCCUUCACCCCUUCACUGUGCGUCAGUAGAUUUAUAUCAUGGGAUUCAUUUUCAUUUUAUGCCUUUUAUUUACGCCCCAGUUCUUUUGCAAGCAGUUUUAAUUCUCCCUUUUAUGAGAGUGAGGCUCUGUGUCUUUGUAGUUCUAUAUAAAAUAAAGGGAGUGAUUGUUUUUAAGGCAGAUUUGAAAGAAAUAUAAUGGAUUUCAGCUACAACAAUUUCUCCCCAUUUAGAGGAGAUGAACACCUAGUUAGAUGAAGAACGUCAUUCCUAGUAUAAUUUGAAUACAUCCUGUUUCCAUGACAACUUGUACUUACCAGCUUGCCUGCAAGAGAAGUGUUUACACUGGGGUUCCAUUUCUUUUAAUUUCAAUAAUUUCAUUCCAGUUUGGGGCUAUUUUUUUUUUUUUUUUUGACAUGGGCUGCUUCUGAGGGAAAGAAACCUAAAGACCAUUUUGGAGGUAACUUCACCUUCAGAAUAAAAGGAGGGGAUGCACAGGGCAAAUGUUAAUGAGCAUGGGAAAUGAAGAUAUUUUUGCAGGUCAUACUCAUUUUCUCCUAUCUUCCAGUUAAAUUAAAUCAACAGAGAUGAUGCAACAACUUAUUAAGAUGCUAUUUGAUUGGACAGAGAAUGAUUCAGUUAUUCAUUUCCAUCUGGACAUUAUACUCAUUAGGCUUGUUUCCUUACUGCUAAUAUAUGUCUUGCCUUUAUGGAUGGUUUGUGCCCUCUUACUGCUAAAUUUCGAUUCUUGCAAAGAGUAUGGUCUUAUUAAUGGUUUUCCCUCAGAAUGAAAGAUAGGAGAUUAUUUGCAUCAUUGACUAUGCUUUUGCAACAUAUGAAAGAAAUGAUACUGUAUUUUAUUGACAAGAUUAUGUUUCAUACAAUAUAAAAGAUGACCCUUGGGUAUUUAGGAAUGAUAGAGAAUCAACUCAAAGUUAGGAUAAUUCAGAGUUUAGUUCUGAGGGAUCUAGAAGGUUUUGAAAGGACAAAAAUGAUUCUUAAUUAUCUCCAAGAUCAUUGUCAACAUAGUAAAUAUUUAUGACACAUGCAAGGUGAUCUGUGGGCUACCAUGUUGCUCAUAACUCCCACUAGGGACCACAUUUUCUAACACACUUUGUGUAAGUAAUAUGUGCCUAUCCUUCACUUCCCAGAAAAAGACACCAUCUUACCAUAAAAACCAACUGUUAAAGAAACUGUUAAAGAAAUACCAUAACGUGCAAAUUAACAUUAUCUACAGAAUAUGUAACAAAUGAAAAUCAACAGGAAAGAAGUAAAAAACUGACAAUAUCUUUCUUUAUUGGGAGCAUGCAGUUCCUGCUGAUGGGAUUCAUCAUCCCAAUAUUUAUUGAGUAUACGCUACACGAGCCAUCUGUUCUGUGGAGACCACAAAGCUCCAACAUUCAACUGUUCCUGUGACUCCCAGGGAGCCGGAUGGGCUGUGGGGUCACCUUCUCUUCCUCCCUCCUGCCGCCCCAAGCUGUCUGAGUUGCGUGUUACGCAGUGGGAGAGCACAUUGGCCUGG
Long non-coding RNA from Orcinus orca (killer whale), 7267 nucleotides. RefSeq lists it as uncharacterized. The record is from RefSeq and is a predicted model, not a curated record. NCBI's taxonomy places the organism in Eukaryota, Metazoa, Chordata, Mammalia, Artiodactyla, Delphinidae. The transcript is spliced from 4 exons.